RNAcentral lists this long non-coding RNA (450 nucleotides) under Lupinus angustifolius (narrow-leaved blue lupine). RNAcentral's name for it is "long non-coding RNA (LANG_LNC002274)". The record is from RNAcentral. Lineage: Eukaryota; Viridiplantae; Streptophyta; Magnoliopsida; Fabales; Fabaceae.
GGAUCUGAAGGUUCUGCUGGCAGUUGUGCUUCCUGGAGAUGGCAGUAGUGAUUCUGAAAUUCUGAUUGAAAAAUCACAAGAAAUUAUAUUCUUGUCAAUAGUUUGCAAUGGUUAUUUUAAAUCAUACAAUAGCAUUCAUGAAAACAAUAAAAUAUAUGUAACUAGUUUUUAUUGAUGCAAGAUAAUGGAUAACAAAAUUUUAGUUUACAUAUUUUAUCAAACAUAUAGCAAUCAAACCAAAGUUUAGUAAAAUCAAUAACUGAUGUUUACCCAAGGGCAGCCUCAACAACUAGGUGAGGGGCUGAAACGGAACAUUGUUGGAGCUUCGUUAGGUGUUAAUGGUGGUUGCUGGUAAUGGGGAUGGAUGGAAAUGAUGGUGUCGUAGAUGGUGCAACAUUUGAAUGAUCUUUAUUGCAACGUUUAGACAACCUUUGUUGCAGCAUCUGAAUG